Molecule: unclassified non-coding RNA, 329 nt
Filed under: soil metagenome
Description: partial contains 5.8S ribosomal RNA, internal transcribed spacer 2, and large subunit ribosomal RNA
Rfam family: 5.8S ribosomal RNA (bases 1-120)
Source: RNAcentral
GAUGAAGAACGUAGCGAAAUGCGAUAAGUAAUGUGAAUUGCAGAAUUCAGUGAAUCAUCGAAUCUUUGAACGCACAUUGCGCCCCUUGGUAUUCCGAGGGGCAUGCCUAUUCGAGCGUCAUUAUCACCCCUCAAGCCUAGCUUGGUGUUGAGGCCUGCUGUCAAGGCAGCCUCUAAAAUCAGUGGCAGUGCUGUCAGGCUCUAAGCGUAGUAAAUCUAAUCGCUAUAGACACCUGGUGGACACUCGCCAGAACCCCCCCAUUUUUUAAUGAUUGACCUCGGAUUAGGUAGGGAUACCCGCUGAACUUAAGCAUAUCAAUAAGCGGAGGA